Molecule: ribosomal RNA, 253 nt
Filed under: uncultured bacterium
Lineage: Bacteria
Description: partial 16S ribosomal RNA
Rfam family: Bacterial small subunit ribosomal RNA
Source: RNAcentral
UACGGAGGGUGCGAGCGUUGUCCGGAAUCACUGGGCGUAAAGGGCGCGUAGGCGGUCUGCUAAGCGUGCGGUGAAAGCCUGGGGCUCAACCCCAGGUCUGCCGUGCGAACUGGUGGACUCGAGCACUGUAGAGGCAGGUGGAAUUCCGGGUGUAGCGGUGGAAUGCGUAGAGAUCCGGAGGAACACCGGCGGCGAAGGCGGCACUCUGGGCCGGUACUGACGCUGAGGAGCGAAAGCGUGGGGAGCAAACAGG